ACAGCCACAAUUCUUAAGUUCAUAGACACCUAAUAGAAUUACCUUUAUAUAUGUAAAUCUGAGUUUACUUGUUUACCAUAGAAGUUCCUUAUCAAACUUGCAUAGAUCUUUGCAGACCUCACUUUUUAAAAUUUCCACUUUAUAUAGAUAAAUGUUGAAUUAGAAAAAUUUUACAAAACUGUUACAUUUCUCCAGUUCUAAUUUUGUCUGCAUUUGUUAAUACAACGUUUUUGUUAAUAUACUAGGUGUGUGUUGCAUUCUAAUCAUUAUAUUUUACCUAAAGUUAGUUAUUAAUAUCAAAGACAGUGUUGUCAAUUUAAUGGGUAAAGAUCACAAAAGUAUUUGAGCGCAGCUAUAUCCUGUAUAUAAUCUAAAUGUUUUUAUAAAAUUCUAAUAGGCUAUGUAUACAGACUAUAUAUAUGGUCAAGAUGUAAAUUAGAACAAUAAGGUAAUAGGCUAAUAAUAAUGUUUGACUAAUAAUAUUCUGGAACCUCAGAUUAUUUCAUACUUUAAUCCUCCUUCGUAAAUAUCUACUUGUAAAAACAGCAGUUAUUUUGCAUGAUGGUGCCGGUUCCAAGGACAGUUCCUAAAUGACUUAAGAAUGAGAAAUGUUAUCUUUUAGUUUUUUUUAUUUAAUGUAUAAAGUUUUAGCUUCUAUGCUUUCAUUGCUGAUUUCAAUAUGU
Long non-coding RNA from Herpailurus yagouaroundi (jaguarundi), 683 nucleotides. RefSeq lists it as uncharacterized. The record is from RefSeq and is a predicted model, not a curated record. NCBI's taxonomy places the organism in Eukaryota, Metazoa, Chordata, Mammalia, Carnivora, Felidae. The transcript is spliced from 2 exons.